Molecule: long non-coding RNA, 210 nt
Filed under: Mytilus galloprovincialis (Mediterranean mussel)
Lineage: Eukaryota; Metazoa; Mollusca; Bivalvia; Mytilida; Mytilidae
Source: RNAcentral
GUUCGUUCUUAUGUUGUACUGUUAUACCACUGUCCCAGGUUAGGGGGAAGGUUGGGAUCCCGCUAACAUGUUUAACCCCGCCACAUUAUUUAUGUAUGUGCCUGUCCCAAGUCAGGAGCCUGUAAUUCAGUGGUUGUCGUUUGUUUAUGUGUUACAUAUUUGUUUUUUGUUCAUUUUUUUUUAUAUAUAAAUAAGGCCGUUAGUUUUCUC